UUGGCUGGCUGAGAGCUUCCUUGGGGACUCGGCCACCCGGAGGGCGGCACAGCGGCCACUCUAGCCGCUGUCCCGGGAUUUGGCCUCGCUCUCUCGGCUGCAAGCUCUCUAUGGUGUUGGCGACAUGUGGCGCCUCCCAGGACUCCUGGGCCGAGCUCUUCCCCGUCUGCUGGGACCUGGCCUCCGGGGGGUGAGCUCUAAGUCCACCAGCCCAGAUGGCCCUCAGGCUGCCUCCUCUGCCCUGCUGGUCCCUGUGCCCAGCUUUGACAGGUCGGGCCCCCAUGGCCCAGGCCCAGGCACAAGCAGGGGCCCAAGGUCCCAUGGAUGGAAGGCUGCCUUCCAGUGGAUGUCUGCCUGUGUCUCCCCAAACACCCUGAGGGAUGCCAUAUCGUGGGGCACUCUGGCCGUGCUGGCCCUGCAGCUGGCAAGGCAGAUCCACUUCCAGGCAAACCUGCCAGCAGGACCUCUGCGAGCCGAGCGCUGCUCUUGGCGCAGUCCCCUGGACCAUUUCCUCUCGUCUCCCUUGUGGCACCCGUGCUCCUCGCUGCGGAGGCAUAUUCUCCCCAGCCCUGAUGGCCCAGCUCCCAGGCACACUGGCCUCAGGGAACCCAGGCUGAGCCCGGAAGAUCGGUCCAUUCAGGCCGAGGGCCUCUCUCCACACAGUUCCUUGAGAGGAGCUGGUCCUCAGGAUCCCUCUGAGGAAGACCCCAGUGAUGUCAACUUCCUGCAUGCCAGCAGUAGCUUCAGAUCCAAGGCAAAACCGGCCCAGCCUCAGCCCACUGGUGAAAAGCAGGAACAGGAGCAAUCCAAAACUCUUCCCCUUGAGGAGGCUGUGACUUCCAUUCAGCAGCUCUUCCAGCUCAGUGUUUCCAUCGCUUUCAACUUCCUGGGGACAGAGAACAUGAGGAAUGGGGACUACACGGUAGCCUUUUCUUACUUCCAGAAAGCAGCAGACCGCGGCUACAGCAAGGCACAGUACAACGUGGGCUUGUGUCACGAGCACGGCAGAGGCACCCCCAGGGACCUCAGCAAGGCCGCUCUUUAUUACCGGUUGGCUGCCAGUCAGGGCCACAGCCUGGCUCAGUACCGCUAUGCCAGGUGCCUGCUGCAGGGCCCAUCCUCCUCGUGGGACCCUGAGUGGCAGAGGGCAGUGUCCAUGCUGAAGCAGGCUGCAGACGCAGGCUUGAGAGAGGCUCAAGCUUUCCUCGGGGUGCUUUUCACCAAGGAGCCAUACCUGGAUGAGCAGAGGGCUGUGAAAUACCUUUGGCUUGCAGCCAACAAUGGGGACUCACAGAGCAGGUACCACUUGGGAAUUUGCUACGAGAAGGGCCUUGGUGUGCAGAGGAGUCUGGGAGAGGCUGUGAGAUGUUACCAGCAGUCAGCGGCUCUGGGGAAUGAGCCCGCCCAGGAGAGGCUGCGGGCCCUCUUUUCUGUGGAGGCAGCAGCCCCGGGGUCCAGCGACCUGGCAGUUAGAGGAUUGAAGUCCUUCUCCAGCCCCUCCCUCUGCAGCCUGAACACUCUGCUGGCAGGAACCUUGUGCCUCCCACAUGCCUCAAGCACAGGGAACCUUGGCCUCCUCUGUAGAAGCGGGCGUCUCGGAGCCAGCCCUGGAGCCCCCAGCAGGGCUCUCCCGCCUCGCCCCUACCCCUUGGAAAGGAGUCUCGUCAGACUGGGUUUUGGCUAAGUUGGUAGCCUUACAGACGAGCAGUGGAUACCUUCACAGUUAUUUCUGGUCUGUGCACAAAAAGGAUUCAUCCAGUGACCUGUGAAAAACUCUACUGAAUUGUCCAGAGACCCUGGUCCUCACCUUGGCCUGUGUCUUUGAGCAAAUCCCUUACCUUCUCCCUCCCUGUGCUUCAGUUUCCUCAGGCUGGGCCUACGUCACGUUUUUCCAACAUCUGAUGUGUGUGCCUCUGGGGGUUCACAAGAAGACUUUAAGUGGUACUUGAAUGAAUAUUUCUUAUUUUAGUAGUUGUAUAUUUAAUAUAUAAUGUAAAAAUGUGACUAGUGCAUUAUAGUUUCACAGAUAUUAAAAUAAUGAAUCAAUUUAAAGUUAAACACCGUGACAUUGCAUAAAGGGGAGCACAGAUCCAGAGAGGUGGCAAAAAUCGUGAGGGUGGUUCCUUGAACAGCUAAAACGUGGGAAGCACUGGAUCAGGUCAGCCCCCAGACCUUCUCACUCAGCCCUAAAGAUGGAACCUGUGGGUACUCGGAGAGAUACCACAACUUGAGUCCCAAAGAAGAGGCCAGUUAUCCACCCACCUUCCCGCAGAACCUUAAGCACCCACCCCAGCACAGUAGGAAAAGGAAAGUGUGUGAAGACUCAGAUCCUGGCCAUGUCAGCUUGAAGCCAUGACCUGACUUGCUAUGUCUCCUCAGUUGUAGACCAAGGGCAGCGGUAUCUGCCCUCCCAUCCUACAGGGCUGAUGUGGGGCAUUUCACUGAGGAAGGGACCUGGGUGCUCACUUAGGCCCGAGGAAGCAGAGAGAUGCCCAUGGUUACAUGGCUUUAUGAGUCUCCAGGCCUGGAGAGGACCCGCCUCCUGACUCCUGGCCCUGGGCUCUUUUGCACCCGUUCACCCUGUAAUUUUGUGUGAAAGUGUUGUCAUCGUCCUGCUGAUGUGAAGGAGUAAAUGGAGGUUGAGCACCUGGAGUCUUGGAGCAGCAAGUGUCGAUGUUGAGAUCCUCGUCUGUGAAGGGUGUGCCAGAAAUGGAUGGCAGUUUAAUAAAGCAGAUGCUGGAUUUUCUCAUCA
Equus quagga is the source of this 2752-nucleotide RNA transcript. It is a transcript of the gene named DAP3 binding cell death enhancer 1, with no coding region annotated. The transcript is spliced from 14 exons. The record is from RefSeq and is a predicted model, not a curated record. NCBI's taxonomy places the organism in Eukaryota, Metazoa, Chordata, Mammalia, Perissodactyla, Equidae.